RNAcentral lists this ribosomal RNA (705 nucleotides) under uncultured Staphylococcus sp. RNAcentral describes it as "bacterial SSU rRNA". It matches the Rfam family "Bacterial small subunit ribosomal RNA", at positions 61 to 748 of the family's 1533-position model. Lineage: Bacteria; Bacillati; Bacillota; Bacilli; Caryophanales; Staphylococcaceae. The record is from RNAcentral.
GUCGAGCGAACAGACGAGGAGCUUACUCCUCUGACGUUAGCGGCGGACGGGUGAGUAACACGUGGAUAACCUACCUAUAAGACUGGGAUAACUUCGGGAAACCGGAGCUAAUACCGGAUAACAUGUUGAACCGCAUGGUUCAACAGUGAAAGACGGUCUUGCUGUCACUUAUAGAUGGAUCCGCGUCGCAUUAGCUAGUUGGUAAGGUAACGGCUUACCAAGGCAACGAUGCGUAGCCGACCUGAGAGGGUGAUCGGCCACACUGGAACUGAGACACGGUCCAGACUCCUACGGGAGGCAGCAGUAGGGAAUCUUCCGCAAUGGGCGAAAGCCUGACGGAGCAACGCCGCGUGAGUGAAGAAGGUCUUCGGAUCGUAAAACUCUGUUAUUAGGGAAGAACAAAUGUGUAAGUAACUAUGCACGUCUUGACGGUACCUAAUUAGAAAGCCACGGCUAACUACGUGCCAGCAGCCGCGGUAAUACGUAGGUGGCAAGCGUUAUCCGGAAUUAUUGGGCGUAAAGCGCGCGUAGGCGGUUUUUUAAGUCUGAUGUGAAAGCCCACGGCUCAACCGUGGAGGGUCAUUGGAAACUGGAAAACUUGAGUGCAGAAGAGGAAAGUGGAAUUCCAUGUGUAGCGGUGAAAUGCGCAGAGAUAUGGAGGAACACCAGUGGCGAAGGCGACUUUCUGGUCUGUAACUGACGCUG